AGCGAACGUUUGCGGCGGGCCUAACACAUGCAAGUCGAACGCACUAGCAAUAGUGAGUGGCGCACGGGUGCGUAACACGUGGGUAAUCAACCCUUCAGCUUGGGAUAACGACUUGAAAGGGUCGCUAAUAUCGGAUACGGCGCGAGAGGCUUCGGCUUCUCACGAGAAAGCCUCGCAAGGGGCACUGAAGGACGAGCCUGCGGCCCAUCAGCUAGUUGGUGAGGUAAGAGCUCACCAAGGCUAAGACGGGUAGCUGGUCUGAGAGGAUGACCCCCCCACAAUGGAACUGAAACACGGUCCAUACACCUACGGGUGGCAGCAGUAGGGAAUAUUGCACAAUGGGCGAAAGCCUGAUGCAGCAACGCCGCGUGUGCGAUGAAGGCCUUCGGUCGUAAGCACUUUCUGAGGGAUGAGCAAGGACAGUACCUCAGGAAUAAGUCUCGGCUAACUACGUGCCAGCAGCCGCGGUAAUGUAGUCGUG
Molecule: ribosomal RNA, 481 nt
Filed under: uncultured bacterium
Lineage: Bacteria
Description: bacterial SSU rRNA
Rfam family: Bacterial small subunit ribosomal RNA
Source: RNAcentral